GACGAACGCUGGCGGCGUGCUUAACACAUGCAAGUCGAACGAAGUGGCGAACGGGUGAGUAACGCGUAAUAAACCUGCCCUUCAGAGGGGGACAACAGUUGGAAACGACUGCUAAUACCGCAUACUGAAGGAGGGGUUUGUGUCGGCUUCGCUAGGUGGCGGGGUAAUGGCCCACCAAGGCGAUGAUCAGUCGCCGGUCUGAGAGGAGGAACGGGCACAUUGGGACGGCGACACGGCCCAGACUCCUACGGGAGGGAGCAGUGGGGAAUCUUCCGCAAUGGACGAAAGUCUGACGGAGCAACGCCGCGUGAGAGAUGACGGCCUUCGGGUUGUAAAGCUCUGUUAAUCGGGACGCGGUACCGGAAUAGAAAGCCACGGCUAACUCCGUGCCAGCAGCCGCGGUAAUUC
This 408-nucleotide ribosomal RNA is filed under the name uncultured bacterium. RNAcentral describes it as "partial 16S ribosomal RNA". It matches the Rfam family "Bacterial small subunit ribosomal RNA", at positions 28 to 526 of the family's 1533-position model. The record is from RNAcentral.